UACGGAGGGGGCUAGCGUUGUUCGGAAUUACUGGGCGUAAAGCGCACGUAGGCGGCUUUGUAAGUUAGAGGUGAAAGCCCAGGGCUCAACCCUGGAAUUGCCUUUAAGACUGCAUCGCUUGAAUCAUGGAGAGGUGAGUGGAAUUCCGAGUGUAGAGGUGAAAUUCGUAGAUAUUCGGAAGAACACCAGUGGCGAAGGCGGCUGACUGGUCCGGUUCUGACGCUGAGGCGCGAAAGCGUGGGGAGCAAACAGG
RNAcentral lists this ribosomal RNA (253 nucleotides) under uncultured bacterium. Its description in RNAcentral is "partial 16S ribosomal RNA". It matches the Rfam family "Bacterial small subunit ribosomal RNA", at positions 524 to 776 of the family's 1533-position model. The record is from RNAcentral.